CUGCUAGUUCAGCUGUGAAGAAGGCCUUAAGGUCAGUCACCAUGUCUGAUAGGUCGGCCUUAGUGGCUAGUGGUGGUUCUGACUGCCUUGGUGGUGCAGUUUGUUGCUUCCGUUGGGGUGUCGGCAUGUCGCUGAGGUAAUCAUCCUCUGAGGCAGAGGGAGACUCCAUCCCCAUGGUUUGGAAGGCGUCCGCCAUUUUGGGCCUGCAUGCCUGGGACAAGAGUUGCCCGAUAUCGUGGGUAUGUCCCACGGAUGACACUCGGG
This is a non-coding RNA of Pelobates cultripes (western spadefoot toad), 264 nucleotides long. The record is from the annotation of a GenBank genome assembly. Lineage: Eukaryota; Metazoa; Chordata; Amphibia; Anura; Pelobatidae.